UUUUAUCGUCCCUUGCCUCGACAGUCCAAAAUCAACUACAACAAGAAAUUCUGAAGCAAAUGAAAUUACUGCAAAGGCUAUGCUAAUUUCAAUAGAGACAGGUUGGCAUGAUAAUUCUCAUGUUGAGUAUACAACAAAAUAAAUAACUGAAACUAAACUAAUAUUUGAAUAUGCAGAAGUUACAUUUGGAAAUCCUGAUUUUAUUUCAAUUUAUAUCAAACUUCAUGUGAGAUGAAUCGAGGAACAUGUACCUGGAAAAUGAAAUGUAGGAAAGCAAAGGAUAAGUCAGUGACCAAAUAGCACAGCAUAUGAAGCUCAGCAGCCAAGCAUAACCAGAAAAUGAUUCGAAAUACUUCAAAACCAAUCUCAAUUGAGCAAGUAAUCACAGCAGCCUUCACAAACCAAACUCUUUUGAAGCAAAACCCAAGCUCAAAAAUUAACCCAUUUAGACAAGAGGGGUUGCUCUGAUGGUAAGCAACCCCCACUUCCAACCGAGAGGUUGUGUAUAUAUUAAUUAAUGAUACAAAUGUUGUUGAGAUCAAUCUAGUGACAGAUAAAACAAAAAUUUAUAUGAGCAAAAAUAGGUAAGAGAUUAAUUAUUAAAUACAUACCAGGAGAAGCACUAGGAGUGGUGGUACCUAAAAUCGAACCAUAGGAAAUAAGUCAAAUACAUAAAUCUUCACCCUCAUAUGUAAAAUUCAUGGGGUAUUAAAAAACUCUCACACUGUCACUACUCAAGAAUAUGUUCUCAAUUCAUCUCUUCUUCCUCAAAAUACCCUAUAUGAUAGAUAAUAAGAGGUUGCUAUGACAGUAAGCAACCCUCACUUCCAAUGGAGAGGUUCGAGUCUCCUCAAUAGUAAUGUGGGAAGUUCUUGGAGGGAAGGAUACCGGGGGUCUAUUUGGAAACAACCUCUCUACCCUAUGGUAGGGGUAAGGUCUGCGUACAUACUACCCUCCCCAGACCCCACUAAGUGGGAUUACACUGGGUUGUUGUUGUUGUUUAAUUCUCAAUGAAUCAGAAAUUGCUCAUUUUUGUAAACUGAAAACUUAAAGCAUCAGAGAAUGGAUUCAAUGCAACAAUAAAACAGUUCAGUUGUUGGAAAUUUCUGAAGCUUUCUAUGUUCUAAACUCUCUCUGUUUUCAGAUUGCCUGUGUCUCUCUCUAUCAAAUUUUCAGAGUGAUUUAUCAGUGUA
RNAcentral lists this long non-coding RNA (1193 nucleotides) under Nicotiana benthamiana. RNAcentral describes it as "long non-coding RNA (NBEN_LNC033652)". Lineage: Eukaryota; Viridiplantae; Streptophyta; Magnoliopsida; Solanales; Solanaceae. The record is from RNAcentral.